Canis lupus familiaris (dog) is the source of this 473-nucleotide long non-coding RNA. RefSeq lists it as uncharacterized. The transcript has 3 exons. NCBI's taxonomy places the organism in Eukaryota, Metazoa, Chordata, Mammalia, Carnivora, Canidae. The record is from RefSeq and is a predicted model, not a curated record.
ACCAACAGUGCAUGAGAGCUCCUUUUUUUCCACAUUCUCAUCAACACCUGUUAUUCUCAAGGUGAUCUAUCCUGGAGAAAGUUCCACGUGAACCUGGAAAGAAUAGAUCUUCUGCUGCUUUGUUUUUUAUGUGUCUACUAAUUCCAUCUGGUCUGAUGUGGAUUAAAAAAUAACCACUUAAAUGGAAACAGACUCCAUUACCAUGGUUGAUGACACCUGAAACACCUUUCUAUAUCACUGGAAGUUCUUGAAUCACAGGCUGACAAAUGUUGUCAUAUUAUUUCUAGUCAAAGCUACACAUAAUAUUUUCUACUGAUAACUCAAGAAUAUAAAAAAUAAAUUUUGCAAUUCGGUUUUUAUAUGGAAUAAAGCAAGUCUAUUAAAUACACAAAAAUAUAAUCAACACCAAAUGAUGUUAACUUACAAAUUACUUCUUUGCACACUUGUAGUUCUUAUGUUUUAUAAAAGCUUUA